AAUCAACGCUGGCGGCGUGCCUCAGACAUGCAAGUCGAACGCGAAAGUCCCCUUCGGGGGAUGAUUAGAGUGGCGUCCGGGUGAGUAACACGUGGGUAAUCUACCUUCGGGUGGGGAAUAACAGUCGGAAACGACUGCUAAUACCGCAUAAUGCAGCGGCACCUAAUGGUGACAGUUGUUAAAGCGGGGGAUCGCAAGACCUCGCGCCUGAAGAGGAGCCCGCGGCGGAUUAGCUAGUUGGCAGGGUAACGGCCUACCAAGGCGACGAUCCGUAGCCGGCCUGAGGAGGGCGGUCGGCCACACUGGCACUGACAUACGGGCCAGACUCC
RNAcentral lists this ribosomal RNA (329 nucleotides) under uncultured bacterium. RNAcentral's name for it is "bacterial SSU rRNA". It matches the Rfam family "Bacterial small subunit ribosomal RNA", at positions 32 to 339 of the family's 1533-position model. The record is from RNAcentral.